CCAGCACCUGCGGUAAUUCCAGCUCUAAUAGCGUAUAUUAAAGUUGUUGCAGUUAAAAAGCUCGUAGUCGGAAGUCGGGCUCGGGCAGGCUGUCGGCCUCGGUUGGGCAGCUUGCUUGGGUCUUCUAGCUCGGGGGCCCCGUGCCAUUUAACCGUGGUGCGCGGGAACACGGGCCGUUUACUUUGAAAAAAUUAGAGUGUUCAAAGCAGGCUAUUGCUUGAAUAUAUUAGCAUGGAAUAAUGGAAUAGGACUUUGGUGCUAUUUCGUUGGUUAUGGGACCGAGGUAAUGAUUAAUAGGGACAGUUGGGGCCGUUCAUAUUUCGUUGUCAGAGGUGAAAUUCUUGGAUUUACGAACGAUGAACUUAUGCGAAAGCAUUCGGCAAGGAUGUUUUCAUUGAUCAAGAACGAAAGU
RNAcentral lists this ribosomal RNA (412 nucleotides) under uncultured eukaryote. RNAcentral describes it as "SSU rRNA". It matches the Rfam family "Eukaryotic small subunit ribosomal RNA", at positions 567 to 990 of the family's 1831-position model. The record is from RNAcentral.